GAAUUCACUUGAUUCGGAGAGGGAGCCUGAGAAACGGCUACCACAUCUAAGGAAGGCAGCAGGCGCGUAAAUUACCCAAUCCUGACACAGGGAGGUAGUGACAAGAAAUAUCAAUAUAAGACGUUUCUGUCUUGUAAUUGGGAUGAGCGAAACAUAAACCGCUUCUCGAGUAUCAAUUGGAGGGCAAGUCUGGUGCCAGCAGCCGCGGUAAUUCCAGCUCCAAUAGCGUAUAUUAAAAUUGUUGCGGUUAAAACGCUCGUAGUUGGAUAUCUGCCAAGGAGUUUCGGUCCUCCCCAGUGGAGAAUACGCGGAACAUUUCUUGGCACUUGUUCAGGGAAGGUGUUUGCACUUUGUUGUGCGUCACGUGAUCUGAAUUUUUACUUUGAGGAAAUGAGAGUGUUUCAAGCAGGCUUUUGCCGUGAAUAUGAUAGCAUGGAAUAAUAGCACAGGACCCCUUUCCAAAGCUGUUGGUUUUUGGAACGAGGUAAUCAUAAUAAGGACAGUUGGGGGUAUUCGUAUUUAACUGUCAGAGGUGAAAUUCUUGGAUUUUUUAAAGACGAACUAUUGCGAAGGCAUCUGCCCAGGAUGUUUUUGUUGAUCAAGAACGAAAGUUAGGGGAUCGAAGACGAUCAGAUACCGUCCUAGUCUUAACCCUAAACUAUGCCGACUGGAGAUUGGAGUCGUCAGUCCUUGACGUCUUCAGCAUCCUGAGAGAAAUCUAAGUCUUUGGGUUCCGGGGGGAGUAUGGUCGCAGGGCUGAAACUUAAAGGAAUUGACGGAAGGGCACCACCAGGAGUGGAGCCUGCGGCUUAAUUUGACUCAACACGGGAAAACUUACCAGGUCCAGACAUAGAUAGGAUUGACAGACUGAUAGCUCUUUCUUAAUUCUAUGGGUGGUGGUGCAUGGCCGUUCUUAAUUGGUGGAGUGAUUUGUCUGGUUAAUUCCGUUAACGAACGAGACCUUAACCUGCUAAAUAGUUUCCAAAACUUCGGUUUUCGGCUUACUUCUUAGAGGGACUUCGUGUGUUUAACAUGAGGAAGUUUGAGGCAAUAACAGGUCUGUGAUGCCCUUAGAUGUCCUGGGCUGCACGCGCGCUACACUGAUGUGUCCAGUAAGCACCUAACCUCAUCCGAAGGGAUCGGGUAACCUUUGCAACGCACAUCGUGAUGGGGAUAGAUUAUUGCAAUUAUUAGUCUUGAACGAGGAAUUCCUAGUAAGCACAAGUCAUCAGCUUGUGCUGAUUACGUCCCUGCCCUUUGUACACACCGCCCGUCGCUCCUACCGAUUGAAUGGUCCGGUGAAUACUUCGGACUGUGAAAUGUUUAGUUUCUAACCAUUUCACGGAAAGUUGAAUAAACCUUAUCAUUUAGAGGAAGGAGAAGUCGUAACAAGGUAGCCGUA
Molecule: ribosomal RNA, 1402 nt
Filed under: uncultured marine eukaryote
Lineage: Eukaryota
Description: SSU rRNA
Rfam family: Eukaryotic small subunit ribosomal RNA
Source: RNAcentral